Molecule: unclassified non-coding RNA, 490 nt
Filed under: Scleria gaertneri
Lineage: Eukaryota; Viridiplantae; Streptophyta; Magnoliopsida; Poales; Cyperaceae
Description: sequence contains ITS1, 5.8S rRNA gene, ITS2
Rfam family: 5.8S ribosomal RNA (bases 247-401)
Source: RNAcentral
CGUAGGUGAACCUGCGGAAGGAUCAUUGUCGGCGACCCGUGAAAACACGACCGGAGCACACGUGAUGGAACGCUGCUGGAGCGGGAGAUCCGCACUAGCCAACCGGCCACUGUCCUCGUGCCGCUUGGCGCGUUGGCCGCGGGCCGAUCACGGCGUGGGAUGACGCCAAGUAACAUGCGAUGCGGAGGCGGCGGSGGCGGCUUGUCGGAGCGUGCCGCUCGSUGCCGACGCGAUGGAAGUCRACAUGACUCUCGGCAACGGAUAUCUCGGCUCUCGCAUCGAUGAAGAACGUAGCGAAAUACGAUACGUGGUGUGAAUUGCAGAAUCCCGCGAACCAUCGAGUUUUUGAACGCAAGUUGCGCCCGAGGGUCCUGCCCGAGGGCACGCCUGCCUCAUGGGCGUAAUAAGCCCAUCGACGCUCAGAGUGUCUCGGCCUUGUCACAUGUGACGGGCGCGGUCAGCUGCGGAAGAUGGCCUUCCGAGCCGGAGU